UAAUUGAAGAGUUUGAUCAUGGCUCAGAUUGAACGCUGGCGGCAGGCCUAACACAUGCAAGUCGAGCGGUAACAGGAAGAAAGCUUGCUUUCUUUGCUGACGAGCGGCGGACGGGUGAGUAAUGCCUAGGGAUCUGCCCAGUCGAGGGGGAUAACAGUUGGAAACGACUGCUAAUACCGCAUACGCCCUACGGGGGAAAGGAGGGGACCUUCGGGCCUUUCGCGAUUGGAUGAACCUAGGUGGGAUUAGCUAGUUGGUAAGGUAAUGGCUUACCAAGGCGACGAUCCCUAGCUGUUCUGAGAGGAUGAUCAGCCACACUGGGACUGAGACACGGCCCAGACUCCUACGGGAGGCAGCAGUGGGGAAUAUUGCACAAUGGGGGAAACCCUGAUGCAGCCAUGCCGCGUGUGUGAAGAAGGCCUUCGGGUUGUAAAGCACUUUCAGUAAGGAGGAAAGGGUGUUG
RNAcentral lists this ribosomal RNA (463 nucleotides) under Shewanella algicola. RNAcentral's name for it is "bacterial SSU rRNA". It matches the Rfam family "Bacterial small subunit ribosomal RNA", at positions 1 to 458 of the family's 1533-position model. The record is from RNAcentral. Lineage: Bacteria; Pseudomonadati; Pseudomonadota; Gammaproteobacteria; Alteromonadales; Shewanellaceae.